Molecule: long non-coding RNA, 277 nt
Filed under: Prunus persica (peach)
Lineage: Eukaryota; Viridiplantae; Streptophyta; Magnoliopsida; Rosales; Rosaceae
Description: long non-coding RNA (PPER_LNC003604)
Source: RNAcentral
AUGGAUGUUCUCGCUUCAUCAUCUCUUCAUGCUCAUCUAAGUAUGCCGUUAUCUCGUCAAAAUUGUUAAGUACGAACUAAUGCACUACCUCCAUGCCAUUUCUAGAAAACAACUCUCCUCGUCUAGGAUCUCCAAAGGGUCAUGCCCUUUGGGCAAAAACAGAAAGUUUUUCAUUUCUCAUACAUCCGUCAUUAUUGACCUGAGAACGAUUGAAAGCUGUCUCCACAUCUUUUAAAUGCAUACCACAGAAAGUAAGCGACUCAUAUUUCUAGCCUCU